GAUACCAGGGUCAAAGGGUUAUGCGUUUCAUGCUUGCAUGAAAAAGCAUGACUUUGGGACCCGUAAAACAUGAGAAAGUAGCCCGAACAGGGCGGAUUUCGAAUGUUUUCAGGAUUGCGGGAG
Molecule: small RNA, 123 nt
Filed under: human gut metagenome
Description: Clostridiales-1 RNA
Rfam family: Clostridiales-1 RNA
Source: RNAcentral